CCUACGGGUGGCAGCAGUGGGGAAUAUUGGACAAUGGGCGAAAGCCUGAUCCAGCCAUGCCGCGUGUGUGAAGAAGGCCUUCGGGUUGUAAAGCACUUUCAGUGGGGAAGAAAGCCUUGGGGCUAAUACCCUCGAGGAAGGACAUCACCCACAGAAGAAGCACCGGCUAACUCCGUGCCAGCAGCCGCGGUAAUACGGAGGGUGCGAGCGUUAACCGGAAUUACUGGGCGUAAAGCGCGCGUAGGCGGUCUGAUAAGCCGGUUGUGAAAGCCCCGGGCUCAACCUGGGAACGGCAUCCGGAACUGUCAGGCUAGAGUGCAGGAGAGGAAGGUAGAAUUCCCGGUGUAGCGGUGAAAUGCGUAGAGAUCGGGAGGAAUACCAGUGGCGAAGGCGGCCUUCUGGACUGACACUGACGCUGAGGUGCGAAAGCGUGGGUAGCAAACAGGAUUAGAUACCCUAGUAGUC
Molecule: ribosomal RNA, 465 nt
Filed under: Vreelandella stevensii
Lineage: Bacteria; Pseudomonadati; Pseudomonadota; Gammaproteobacteria; Oceanospirillales; Halomonadaceae
Description: partial 16S ribosomal RNA
Rfam family: Bacterial small subunit ribosomal RNA
Source: RNAcentral